This 492-nucleotide ribosomal RNA is filed under the name uncultured bacterium. Its description in RNAcentral is "partial 16S ribosomal RNA". It matches the Rfam family "Bacterial small subunit ribosomal RNA", at positions 29 to 507 of the family's 1533-position model. The record is from RNAcentral.
AGUGAACGCUGGCGGUAGGCCUAACACAUGCAAGUCGAACGGCAGCACAGUAAGAGCUUGCUCUUACGGGUGGCGAGUGGCGGACGGGUGAGGAAUACAUCGGAAUCUACUUUUUCGUGGGGGAUAACGUAGGGAAACUUACGCUAAUACCGCAUACGACCUACGGGUGAAAGCAGGGGAUCUUCGGACCUUGCGCGAUUGAAUGAGCCGAUGUCGGAUUAGCUAGUUGGCGGGGUAAAGGCCCACCAAGGCGACGGUCCGUAGCUGGUCUGAGGGGAUGAUCAGCCACACUGGAACUGAGGCACGGUCCCGACUCCUACGGGAGGCAGGAGUGGGGAAUAUUGGACAAUGGGGGGAAGCCUGAACCGGCCAUACCGCGUGGGUGAAGAAGGGUUUCGGGUUGGAAAGCCCUUUUUUUUGGGAAGAAAAACAGCAGUUAAAUACCCCGCUGUUCUGACGGUACCCAAAUAAUAAGCACCGGCUAACUUCGUG